Molecule: regulatory RNA element, 405 nt
Organism: Paenibacillus popilliae ATCC 14706
Lineage: Bacteria; Bacillati; Bacillota; Bacilli; Caryophanales; Paenibacillaceae
Rfam family: cspA thermoregulator
Source: Rfam
AGAGAUUCAUAAAUUGAACAGAGAAGAAUAAAAAACGCUACAUAAUUUUAUUGACAACGCUUCCAGCCAGUGAUAUAGUCGGAAUUGUGAAGGACAAAUCUUCACGGCAUUUGAAGAUGAAGGGAAUGUUAUCGACAUGCAAGGUAAAGUAAAAUGGUUUAACGCUGAAAAGGGCUAUGGCUUUAUCGAGACGGUAGAAGGCAACGACGUGUUCGUUCACUUCUCCGCUAUCCAAUCGGAAGGCUUCAAGACCUUGGAAGAAGGUCAAGAAGUUGAGUUCGACAUCGUGGAAGGCGCUCGCGGUCCACAAGCGGCUAACGUAAUCAGACUGUAAUCAUACCGACGUGAGUCGAAUUAUAUAUGAUUCCGAUUAGCUCUACCCAAGGUAACCUGCUGAGUUUUUUA